This 219-nucleotide ribosomal RNA is filed under the name uncultured bacterium. RNAcentral's name for it is "partial 16S ribosomal RNA". It matches the Rfam family "Bacterial small subunit ribosomal RNA", at positions 1282 to 1500 of the family's 1533-position model. The record is from RNAcentral.
AACGUCUCAGUUCGGAUUGUAGUCUGCAACUCGACUACAUGAAGCUGGAAUCGCUAGUAAUCGCAGAUCAGAAUGCUGCGGUGAAUACGUUCCCGGGCCUUGUACACACCGCCCGUCACACCAUGAGAGUUUGUAACACCCAAAGCCGGUGGGGUAACCUUUUGGAGCCAGCCGUCUAAGGUGGGACAGAUGAUUAGGGUGAAGUCGUAACAAGGUAUC